This 800-nucleotide ribosomal RNA is filed under the name Ligilactobacillus salivarius. RNAcentral describes it as "bacterial SSU rRNA". It matches the Rfam family "Bacterial small subunit ribosomal RNA", at positions 58 to 827 of the family's 1533-position model. The record is from RNAcentral. Lineage: Bacteria; Bacillati; Bacillota; Bacilli; Lactobacillales; Lactobacillaceae.
CAAGUCGAACGAUACUUUCUUACACCGAAUGCUUGCAUUCACCGUAAGAAGUUGAGUGGCGGACGGGUGAGUAACACGUGGGUAACCUGCCUAAAAGAAGGGGAUAACACUUGGAAACAGGUGCUAAUACCGUAUAUCUCUAAGGAUCGCAUGAUCCUUACAUGAAAGAUGGUUCUGCUAUCGCUUUUAGAUGGACCCGCGGCGUAUUAACUAGUUGGUGGGGUAACGGCCUACCAAGGUGAUGAUACGUAGCCGAACUGAGAGGUUGAUCGGCCACAUUGGGACUGAGACACGGCCCAAACUCCUACGGGAGGCAGCGGUAGGGAAUCUUCCACAAUGGACGCAAGUCUGAUGGAGCAACGCCGCGUGAGUGAAGAAGGUCUUCGGAUCGUAAAACUCUGUUGUUAGAGAAGAACACGAGUGAGAGUAACUGUUCAUUCAAUGACGGUAUCUAACCAGCAAGUCACGGCUAACUACGUGCCAGCAGCCGCGGUAAUACGUAGGUGGCAAGCGUUGUCCGGAUUUAUUGGGCGUAAAGGGAACGCAGGCGGUCUUUUAAGUCUGAUGUGAAAGCCUUCGGCUUAACCGGAGUAGUGCAUUGGAGACUGGAAGACUUGAGUGCAGAAUAGGAGAGUGAAACUCCAUGUGUAGCGGUGAAAUGCGUAGAUAUAUGGAAGAACACCAGUGGCGAAAGCGGCUCUCUGGUCUGUAACUGACGCUGAGGUUCGAAAGCGUGAGUAGCAAACACGAUUAGAUACCCUGGUAGUCCACGCCGUAAACGAUGAAUGCUAGGUGUUGGA